AGAGUUUGAUCCUGGCUCAGGAUGAACGCUAGCUACAGGCUUAACACAUGCAAGUCGAGGGGCAGCAUGGUCUUAGCUUGCUAAGGCUGAUGGCGACCGGCGCACGGGUGAGUAACACGUAUCCAACCUGCCGUCUACUCUUGGCCAGCCUUCUGAAAGGAAGAUUAAUCCAGGAUGGGAUCAUGAGUUCACAUGUCCGCAUGAUUAAAGGUAUUUUCCGGUAGACGAUGGGGAUGCGUUCCAUUAGAUAGUAGGCGGGGUAACGGCCCACCUAGUCAACGAUGGAUAGGGGUUCUGAGAGGAAGGUCCCCCACAUUGGAACUGAGACACGGUCCAAACUCCUACGGGAGGCAGCAGUGAGGAAUAUUGGUCAAUGGGCGAUGGCCUGAACCAGCCAAGUAGCGUGAAGGAUGACUGCCCUAUGGGUUGUAAACUUCUUUUAUAAAGGAAUAAAGUCGGGUAUGCAUACCCGUUUGCAUGUACUUUAUGAAUAAGGAUCGGCUAACUCCGUGCCAGCAGCCGCGGUAAUACGGAGGAUCCGAGCGUUAUCCGGAUUUAUUGGGUUUAAAGGGAGCGUAGAUGGAUGUUUAAGUCAGUUGUGAAAGUUUGCGGCUCAACCGUAAAAUUGCAGUUGAUACUGGAUAUCUUGAGUGCAGUUGAGGCAGGCGGAAUUCGUGGUGUAGCGGUGAAAUGCUUAGAUAUCACGAAGAACUCCGAUUGCGAAGGCAGCCUGCUAAGCUGCAACUGACAUUGAGGCUCGAAAGUGUGGGUAUCAAACAGGAUUAGAUACCCUGGUAGUCCACACGGUAAACGA
RNAcentral lists this ribosomal RNA (814 nucleotides) under uncultured bacterium. Its description in RNAcentral is "bacterial SSU rRNA". It matches the Rfam family "Bacterial small subunit ribosomal RNA", at positions 8 to 809 of the family's 1533-position model. The record is from RNAcentral.